This 459-nucleotide ribosomal RNA is filed under the name uncultured bacterium. RNAcentral describes it as "partial 16S ribosomal RNA". It matches the Rfam family "Bacterial small subunit ribosomal RNA", at positions 338 to 795 of the family's 1533-position model. The record is from RNAcentral.
CCUACGGGUGGCUGCAGUGAGGAAUAUUGGUCAAUGGGCGGAAGCCUGAACCAGCCAAGUCGCGUGAGGGAUUAAGGCCCUGCGGGUCGUAAACCUCUUUUGCCGGGGAGCAAAGAGCGGUACGUGUACCGCAUCGAGAGUACCCGGAGAAAAAGCAUCGGCUAACUCCGUGCCAGCAGCCGCGGUAAUACGGAGGAUGCGAGCGUUAUCCGGAUUUAUUGGGUUUAAAGGGUGCGCAGGCGGCGAGUUAAGUCAGCGGUAAAAUUUCGGGGCUCAACCCCGACGAGCCGUUGAAACUGGCUUGCUAGAGUGGGCGGGAAGUAGGCGGAAUGCGUGGUGUAGCGGUGAAAUGCAUAGAUAUCACGCAGAACUCCGAUUGCGAAGGCAGCAUACCGGCGCCCAACUGACGCUCAGGCACGAAAGCGUGGGUAUCGAACAGGAUUAGAUACCCGUGUAGUC